Long non-coding RNA from Hibiscus syriacus, 226 nucleotides. RefSeq lists it as uncharacterized. The transcript is spliced from 3 exons. NCBI's taxonomy places the organism in Eukaryota, Viridiplantae, Streptophyta, Magnoliopsida, Malvales, Malvaceae. The record is from RefSeq and is a predicted model, not a curated record.
CUGGAAGCUUGGUUCACUUUUCUUUUCCUUCUCUCCCCGUAACUCCAUUGAUAAGAUAUUGAAUGAAGGAAAUUUCCGGACGAUUCAACGGUAUAAGAUAUUGAUCAAGAGUAAUAAGAAUUUGCUAGGACUAAGUGAGACAAAGGUUCGAAGAAAGAAGAAGAUUAAAACUAGAAGAGGGCAGCAUAUUCCUGAAGAGGGUCAGAUCAGAUAAAUUUGAACGUAG